Molecule: non-coding RNA, 209 nt
Filed under: uncultured Clostridium sp.
Lineage: Bacteria; Bacillati; Bacillota; Clostridia; Eubacteriales; Clostridiaceae
Source: RNAcentral
AGAACUAUCACUGUGAGAAGUAGAAUGAUAGGGUAACGCCUUGAAAUGCUUCCUCUAAUACUUCGAAUAGCAAUAGGUUGAGUAAACAACCUAUUGUUAUAAGCUCGAGGAAGUCGGCUGAGAGUACUCCGUAAGGUCUAACCUUUGCGUUAGAUACACGAAAUGCGAACCAGAGGUGGUCGAGAGUAUGAUAGGUCGGGAGUCGAUUA